RNAcentral lists this ribosomal RNA (257 nucleotides) under uncultured archaeon. RNAcentral describes it as "partial 16S ribosomal RNA". It matches the Rfam family "Bacterial small subunit ribosomal RNA", at positions 521 to 777 of the family's 1533-position model. The record is from RNAcentral.
UAAUACGGAGGGUGCAAGCGUUAUCCGGAUUCACUGGGUUUAAAGGGUGCGUAGGCGGGUAAGUAAGUCAGUGGUGAAAUCCUGGAGCUUAACUCCAGAACUGCCAUUGAUACUAUUUAUCUUGAAUAUUGUGGAGGUAAGCGGAAUAUGUCAUGUAGCGGUGAAAUGCUUAGAUAUGACAUAGAACACCCAUUGCGAAGGCAGCUUACUACGCAUAUAUUGACGCUGAGGCACGAAAGCGUGGGGAUCAAACAGGA